UGCCAGCAGCCGCGGUAAUACGGCGGGUGCAAGCGUUAAUCGGAAUUACUGGGCGUAAAGCGCACGCAGGCGGUUUGUUAAGCUAGAUGUGAAAGCCCCGGGCUCAACCUGGGAUGGUCAUUUAGAACUGACAGACUAGAGUCUUGGAGAGGGGAGUGGAAUUCCAGGUGUAGCGGUGAAAUGCGUAGAUAUCUGGAGGAACAUCAGUGGCGAAAGCGACUCACUGGGCCGUCUCUGACGCUGAGGUACGAAAGCGUGGGGAGCAAACAGGAUUAGAUA
RNAcentral lists this ribosomal RNA (279 nucleotides) under uncultured bacterium. RNAcentral describes it as "partial 16S ribosomal RNA". It matches the Rfam family "Bacterial small subunit ribosomal RNA", at positions 506 to 784 of the family's 1533-position model. The record is from RNAcentral.